RNAcentral lists this ribosomal RNA (484 nucleotides) under uncultured bacterium. RNAcentral's name for it is "partial 16S ribosomal RNA". It matches the Rfam family "Bacterial small subunit ribosomal RNA", at positions 30 to 507 of the family's 1533-position model. The record is from RNAcentral.
AUUGAACGCUGGCGGCAGGCCUAACACAUGCAAGUCGAGCGGAUGAAGGGAGCUUGCUCCUGGAUUCAGCGGCGGACGGGUGAGUAAUGCCUAGGAAUCUGCCUGGUAGUGGGGGAUAACGUCCGGAAAAGGGCGCUAAUACCGCAUACGUCCUGCGGGAGAAAGUGGUGGAUCUUCGGACCUCACGCUAUCAGAUGAGCCUAGGUCGGAUUAGCUAGUUGGUGGGGUAAAGGCCUACCAAGGCGACGAUCCGUAACUGGACUGAGAGGAUGAUCAGUCACACGGGAGCGGAGACGCCGUCCAGACUACUGCGGGAGGCGGCAGUGGGGAAUAGUAGGCAGUAGGCGAAAGCCUGAUCCAACCAUGCCGCGUGUGUGGAGAAGGUCUUCGGAUUGUAAAGCACGUUAAGUGGUGAUGAAGGGCAGUAAGUUAAUACCUUGCUGUUUUGACGUUACCAACAGAAUAAGCACCGGCUAACUUCGUG